RNAcentral lists this ribosomal RNA (253 nucleotides) under uncultured bacterium. RNAcentral's name for it is "partial 16S ribosomal RNA". It matches the Rfam family "Bacterial small subunit ribosomal RNA", at positions 524 to 776 of the family's 1533-position model. The record is from RNAcentral.
UACGGAGGGUGCAAGCGUUAUCCGGAUUUACUGGGUUUAAAGGGUGCGUAGGCGGUCUUUUAAGUCAGGGGUGAAAUCCCGGGGCUCAACCCCGGAACUGCCUUUGAUACUAUUAGACUUGAAUUAUGUUGAGGUUGGCGGAAUAUAACAUGUAGCGGUGAAAUGCAUAGAUAUGUUAUAGAACACCGAUUGCGAAGGCAGCUGACUAAACAUUAAUUGACGCUGAGGCACGAAAGCGUGGGGAUCAAACAGG